Molecule: transfer RNA, 18 nt
Filed under: Pseudacris cadaverina (California treefrog)
Lineage: Eukaryota; Metazoa; Chordata; Amphibia; Anura; Hylidae
Description: partial tRNA-Glu
Source: RNAcentral
UAGUUUUUGUAGUUAAAG